This 414-nucleotide ribosomal RNA is filed under the name uncultured soil bacterium. RNAcentral describes it as "bacterial SSU rRNA". It matches the Rfam family "Bacterial small subunit ribosomal RNA", at positions 258 to 688 of the family's 1533-position model. The record is from RNAcentral.
UAAGAGCUUACCAAGGCGACGAUCGGUAGCUGGUCUGAGAGGACGAUCAGCCACACUGGGAUUGAGAACGGCCCAGACUCCUACGGGGGGCAGCAGUGAGGAAUUUUCCGCAAUGGACGAAAGUCUGACGGAGCAACGCCGCGUGCAGGAGGACGCUUUUCGGAGUGUAAACUGCUUUUCCCAGGGAAGAGAGCGGACGGUACCUGGGGAAGAAGCCCCGGCUAACUACGUGCCAGCAGCCGCGGUAAUACGUAGGGGGCGAGCGUUGUCCGGAGUUACUGGGCGUAAAGGGCAUGCAGGCGGUCGUACGCGUUUUGUGUGACAGCAAAUGGUUAUAAAAACCCGAGUAUGCGAAAGACGGUACGACUUGAGGGCUCGAGAGGGACACGGAAUUCCGGGUGGAGUGGUGAAAUG